This 320-nucleotide ribosomal RNA is filed under the name uncultured eukaryote. RNAcentral describes it as "partial 18S ribosomal RNA". It matches the Rfam family "Eukaryotic small subunit ribosomal RNA", at positions 1470 to 1796 of the family's 1831-position model. The record is from RNAcentral.
CCCCUAGAUGUUCUGGGCCGCACGCGCGCUACACUGAACAGUUCAACAAGUCUUAACCUUGGCCGAUGGGUCUGGGUAAUCUUUGAACGCUGUUCGUGAUUGGGAUAGACCUUUGCAAUUAUGGGUCUUCAACGAGGAAUUCCUAGUAAACGCAAGUCAUCAGCUUGCAUUGAUUACGUCCCUGCCCUUUGUACACACCGCCCGUCGCACCUACCGAUUGAAUGGUCCGGUGAAAUCUCGGGACGGCGGCUUGGUCGCUUGCGUCCGACUGCUGAAACUUGAUUAAACCAUAUCAUUUAGAGGAAGGUGAANUCGUANCA